Molecule: transfer RNA, 83 nt
Filed under: Magnetovibrio sp.
Lineage: Bacteria; Pseudomonadati; Pseudomonadota; Alphaproteobacteria; Rhodospirillales; Magnetovibrionaceae
Description: tRNA-Leu
Rfam family: tRNA
About the family: Transfer RNA (tRNA) molecules are approximately 80 nucleotides in length.
Source: RNAcentral
GCAUAUGUGUCCGAGUGGUCUAAGGAGCCAGAGUCAAGUUCUGGUGGCGUAAAGCCGCGCAAGUUCGAACCUUGUCAUAUGCA